AUGGGGGGAACCCUGACCGAGCAACGCCGCGUGAGUGAAGAAGGUUUUCGGAUCGUAAAGCUCUGUUGUUAAGGAAGAACGAGUGUGAGAAUGGAAAGUUCAUACUGUGACGGUACUUAACCAGAAAGGGACGGCUAACUACGUGCCAGCAGCCGCGGUAAUACGUAGGUCCCGAGCGUUGUCCGGAUUUAUUGGGCGUAAAGCGAGCGCAGGCGGUUAGAAAAGUCUGAAGUGAAAGGCAGUGGCUCAACCAUUGUAGGCUUUGGAAACUGUUUAACUUGAGUGCAGAAGGGGAGAGUGGAAUUCCAUGUGUAGCGGUGAAAUGCGUAGAUAUAUGGAGGAACACCGGUGGCGAAAGCGGCUCUCUGGUCUGUAACUGACGCUGAGGCUCGAAAGCGUGGGGAGCGAACAGGAUUAGAUACCCUGGUAGUCCACGCCGUAAACGAUGAGUGCUAGGUGUUAGGUCCUUUCCGGGACUUAGUGCCGCAGCUAACGCAUUAAGCACUCCGCCUGGGGAGUACGACCGCAAGGUUGAAACUCAAAGGAAUUGACGGGGGCCCGCACAAGCGGUGGAGCAUGUGGUUUAAUUCGAAGCAACGCGAAGAACCUUACCAGGUCUUGACAUCCGAUGCUAUU
Molecule: ribosomal RNA, 636 nt
Filed under: Streptococcus anginosus
Lineage: Bacteria; Bacillati; Bacillota; Bacilli; Lactobacillales; Streptococcaceae
Description: bacterial SSU rRNA
Rfam family: Bacterial small subunit ribosomal RNA
Source: RNAcentral